AUGGCACUAAACCAGGAAAAAACGAAAAAAAUAAAUGUAAGAAACUAUGUUUUAGAAAAUAUAAAAAUAAACGGUUUUACUUUUUUAUUACAUAAAAAUAAUAGUCAAAAAAUAAACGAAUUAGAAAAAAAAAUAAUAUCACGUUUAGCAGAUGAUUUAUUAGAAAAUAUUUGUGAAAGAUCAAUAAGUUGUAUAUUUCAUCAUUAUUUUUUAACAAAUAAAAGAAUUUUAAAUAUAACAGAUAAAAUAUUAAUUGAAAAAUUACUUAAUGUUUUGAUAAAAAAAAAUAUUUGUUUUGUAAAACCUAGAUAUUUCCUUAUGUGUUGUUAUACAUUAAUUAUAUAUAGAUAUUUUACGAAUAUAGAUGUAGCUUUUUAUUUUUUGAAAAAUUGUACUAAACUGAUUUGCAAAUUAAAACAGAAGGUUUAUAUUGACAAUUUUUUGUUUGUAUUAACAGGAUUUGUACAAAAUAGGUCUUUGUUUUGUAAAAAGAUAAACAAUACGUCUAAUGGUUAUAAUACUACUGAUAAUAAUGAUAAUAGAGACUCCGAUACAUAUCCUACAAUAUACAUUAACAACAAAACAAACGACAUGGCCAAUUUAAAAAUAGGCAACAAACAUUUCGACGAAAUAACUAAUGAAAUAACCAGUUAUGGACUAGUAGAAGAACAAAAAAAUGAUAAAAAAAAAAACACACAAACUAUGAAUGCGAGAUUAGCUAUUUUAUACAUAUUCAACGAAAUAAUUAAUUUGGAUUAUGAUUUAAAUGUAAAACAAAUUUUGUUAUAUAUACAAUUAUUUGCAAGUUAUAAUAUUAAAUUAAAUAGCGAAAUUAAAAAAAAAAUAUGCUAUUUGAUUAGUAACAAUGUUUAUUAUUUAGUUUCUUCUGUAAAUUUGGUUCUGCAAUUAUCUAUUAAAAUAUUUGAAAUAAAUAGUGAUUAUUUUAAAAAUAUAGCUACUACCUUUUUAGAUAAAAUGAAUUGCGAAUUAAUGCAAUUUACAAACAUUUUAAUGAAUAAUUCUAAGCAGUAUUUUUUUGACUGUAUUGUGGAAGGAGUAGGUGAUGGUAUAAAUUACAACACGAGUAAUAACAAUACAAAUAUGCGUUAUACAUACUUAACCGAUAUAGACACUUUAGGAAACAUCUUGUUUAUAUUUGAUCAAAUUGAUCUUAAUAAAAAAGAGUUUAUAUUAAAUAUUAUUAAUUUGUUGUCUAUUCACAAUUAUUUAUUAUUAAAAUAUAAAAAAAUAAAAUUUAAUUCAUUUGUUUAUAUACUUCAUUAUAUAUGUUCUAGUUAUAUAGAUACUCAAGAAUAUGUUAAAUUGGUAGGUUAUAUUAUGAGUAAUAUACGUGUGUAUAUAGAUUUAUGUUAUAGACAGUAUAUGCAGACUGUUGGCAAAAAAAUGGACGUACGUGUUGUAAAUCGUGAAAAGGAUAGUUGUACUGUUAGUCAUGGUAAUAAUACUAGUACUAACAACAGUAGUAUAAGCAAUAACAGUGACGGUAAUAGUGAAGAAGUAUGUACUGCGGAAGAGUAUGCAUUUGAUCAAGUGAAUCAUGACAUUAUAAAAGAUAAAAUAUAUAUAAAAGAUAUAAUCAUAUUUUUGGAUUUUAUGCGCAUUAGCAAGUUAUAUAUUAACGAUAUGGUUUUAGGCACUUUGAUAGAAAUGAUGAAAACUAACAAAAUAAAGUCCCUAUCGAAUGAAGACAUCGAGUUGUUAAAUUACAUUUUUAUAGACAUGGGUAUGUUCAACAAAAACGUAAUGGAUGAAGCAAAGUAUAGAGGAUUAAGCAUAGGAUUGAAUUCUUAAUUCGAAAUAAAAUUGUCAUAUAUUAACGUAUGUUCUAUCA
Molecule: long non-coding RNA, 1852 nt
Organism: Piliocolobus tephrosceles (Ugandan red Colobus)
Lineage: Eukaryota; Metazoa; Chordata; Mammalia; Primates; Cercopithecidae
Source: Ensembl